GGCUGAGUCAGAGGCACAGAAUUAGGCCCGACCUACGCUGGGACAGGGUCUGUUCUGUGUCCUCCUGACACAGCCUGGC
Molecule: microRNA precursor, 79 nt
Filed under: Mesocricetus auratus (golden hamster)
Lineage: Eukaryota; Metazoa; Chordata; Mammalia; Rodentia; Cricetidae
Description: miRNA (ENSMAUG00000005541.1)
Source: RNAcentral